GAUGGAGGUUUUUGUACGAUGGUUUCAUUAGAAUGUAUCACUGUGGUGGACUUUUGGUGGAGGCUCCAAACUCGUGGUGAACACGGGUACCACAGCUCCCUCCGUGUCUCUGCUCCCUCCGUCCCCUCUGCAGCUGUCUGAGGGAUCGGCCUCGCUGCUCUGCCUGCUGUCUGGCUACUCUCCACAGGGGGCGCUGGUGAGCUGGACAGUGGACGGCUCAGAGGUGAAGAACGAGGUUCUGACCAGCGCAGAAGAAGAGAAGAACGGCCGUUACAGCCGCAGUAGCACCCUGACCCUCAGCAAAGACCUCUGGGAAAAGGGGGAGGAGUUCAGCUGUAGGGUCUCCCAUAACAACGUCGAUCAUCCGGUCACGUUCAGAAAGAGUCAGUGUGAAGGCUAGUGGAUCCAAGAUAGAGUUUAACAUAGAGCUGCUUAUGAUCCAUCUACAAUAGAGUUUCAAUUCUACACAAUGCUGACAUUUCUGUCUUUACUCUCUUCACUGUCCUGUUGCUCUUCCUGUAGUUUUUGCUGAAAUAAAGCUGAGUUUUGGA
Molecule: long non-coding RNA, 551 nt
Organism: Ictalurus furcatus (blue catfish)
Lineage: Eukaryota; Metazoa; Chordata; Actinopteri; Siluriformes; Ictaluridae
Exons: 2
Source: RefSeq, a predicted model, not a curated record